GUCGAGAAUCUUUCACAAUGGGGGCAACCCUGAUGGAGCGACGCCGCGUGGAGGAUAAGGUCUUCGGAUUGUAAACUCCUGUCAUGCGUGAACAAGGUUGCUUGGUUAAUACCUGGGCAAAUUGAUGGUAACGCAAGAGGAAGAGACGGCUAACUCUGUGCCAGCAGCCGCGGUAAUACAGAGGUCUCAAGCGUUGUUCGGAAUCACUGGGCGUAAAGGGUGCGUAGGUGGCGUGGUAAGUCAGAUGUGAAAGCCCGGGGCUCAACCUCGGAACUGCAUCAGAUACUGCCAUGCUAGAGUACUGGAGAGGUGACUAGAAUUCUCGGUGUAGCAGUGAAAUGCGUAGAUAUCGAGAGGAAUACCAAAGGCGUAGGCAGGUCACUGGACAGUUACUGACACUGAGGCACGAAGGCCAGGGGAGCGAACGGGAUUAGAAACCCGAGUAGUCC
RNAcentral lists this ribosomal RNA (449 nucleotides) under uncultured bacterium. RNAcentral's name for it is "partial 16S ribosomal RNA". It matches the Rfam family "Bacterial small subunit ribosomal RNA", at positions 354 to 796 of the family's 1533-position model. The record is from RNAcentral.